Molecule: ribosomal RNA, 660 nt
Filed under: uncultured marine group I thaumarchaeote
Lineage: Archaea; Thermoproteati; Nitrososphaerota
Description: bacterial SSU rRNA
Rfam family: Archaeal small subunit ribosomal RNA
Source: RNAcentral
UUCCGGUUGAUCCCGCCGGACCUGACUGCUAUCAGAUUGAUAUUAAGCCGUGUUAGUCAUUGUAGUAAUACAAGGCAGACAGCUCAGUAACACGUAGUCAACCUAACUUAUGGACGGAAAUAACCUCGGGAAACUGAGGAUAAUGUCCGAUAGAUCAUUAUGCCUGGAAUGGUUUAUGGUCGAAACGAAUAUCGCCGUAGGAUGGGACUGCGGGCUAUCAGCUUGUUGGUGAGGUAAUGGCCCACCAAGGCAUUUACAGCUACGGGCUCUGAGAGGAGUAGCCCGGAGAUGGGUACUGAGACAAGGACCCAGGCCCUAUGGGGCGCAGCAGGCGAGAAAACUUUGCAAUGUGCGAAAGCCCGACAAGGUUAAUCUGAGUGGUUUCUGCUAAAGGAACCUUUUGUUAGUCCUAAAAACACUGAUGAAUAAGGGGUGGGCAAGUUCUGGUGUCAGCCGCCGCGGUAAAACCAGCACCUCAAGUGGUCAGGAUGAUUAUUGGGCCUAAAGCAUCCGUAGCCUGUUCUAUAAGUUUCCGGUUAAAUCCAUAUGCUCAACAUAUGGGCCGCCGGAAAUACUGUAGAACUAGGGAGUGGGAGAGGUAGACGGUACUCGGUAGGAAGAGGUAAAAUUCUUUGAUCUAUUGAUGACCACCUGUGGCGA